UCCUUAUGGUUAGGAUGGGUUAGGUGAC
This 28-nucleotide non-coding RNA is filed under the name Rattus norvegicus (Norway rat). Lineage: Eukaryota; Metazoa; Chordata; Mammalia; Rodentia; Muridae. The record is from RNAcentral.